CUGAAAGUAUGACAUACAAUAAACAUUGAAAUAACAACUGAAGACAUUUACAAGAAACCAAACAACAAACUGAAACUCAAUAUGAACACAGCAGGUAAGAACAUACAUUCGCAUCACAGUUUUUAGUGGC
This is a long non-coding RNA of Salarias fasciatus (jewelled blenny), 130 nucleotides long. RefSeq lists it as uncharacterized. The transcript has 3 exons. NCBI's taxonomy places the organism in Eukaryota, Metazoa, Chordata, Actinopteri, Blenniiformes, Blenniidae. The record is from RefSeq and is a predicted model, not a curated record.